This 454-nucleotide ribosomal RNA is filed under the name uncultured Geobacillus sp. Its description in RNAcentral is "bacterial SSU rRNA". It matches the Rfam family "Bacterial small subunit ribosomal RNA", at positions 925 to 1382 of the family's 1533-position model. Lineage: Bacteria; Bacillati; Bacillota; Bacilli; Caryophanales; Anoxybacillaceae. The record is from RNAcentral.
ACAAGCGGUGGAGCAUGUGGUUAAUUCGAAGCAACGCGAAGAACCUUACCAGGUCUUGACAUCCCUGACAACCAAGAGAUUGGGCGUUCCCCUUCGGGGGACAGGGUGACAGGUGGUGCAUGGUUGUCGUCAGCUCGUGUCGUGAGAUGUUGGGUUAAGUCCCGCAACGAGCGCAACCCUCGCCUCUAGUUGCCAGCAUUCGGUUGGGCACUCUAGAGGGACUGCCGGCGACAAGUCGGAGGAAGUGGGGAUGACGUCAAAUCAUCAUGCCCCUUAUGACCUGGGCUACACACGUGCUACAAUGGGCGGUACAAAGGGCUGCGAACCCGCGAGGGGGAGCGAAUCCCAAAAAGCCGCUCUCAGUUCGGAUUGCAGGCUGCAACUCGCCUGCAUGAAGUCGGAAUCGCUAGUAAUCGCGGAUCAGCAUGUCGCGGUGAAUACGUUCCCGGGUCUU